This 1149-nucleotide ribosomal RNA is filed under the name Triticum aestivum (bread wheat). RNAcentral's name for it is "partial small subunit ribosomal RNA". Lineage: Eukaryota; Viridiplantae; Streptophyta; Magnoliopsida; Poales; Poaceae. The record is from RNAcentral.
AUGGUACCCAGAGUACAAACCUUCGCAUGGAGGCUACUUAGGAGGGCAAUUCCCACGGGUAUGAGGGCAGGUAGAUUUUCUUCUCAUAUUAUAAAACAGUAUGCUAGAUGUGAUCAAGAAGAAGAUGAUAUACACCUAUUCUUCACUUGUCCUUUUGCUAAAGCUGCUUGGUUCUCGGAACCUUGGAAUAUUAGGUCUGAAUUCUUCGUGCAAAACUUUGGUUCAAUACCUGCUAUUAUACAGGCCUUGUUAACUUCCAAUCACCCUCAUGCCUCUCUCAAUAACAUUAUAACCUUUCUUUGGUGUAUUUGGAAGUUCAGGAAUGAUAACCUUUUUGGCAGAAAAUCAAAUUCUCCUAUGCAGGUAUACCCAGCUAUGCAAGCAAUAAUAAAAAGCCAAGAAUUAGUAUCUUCUGCAAAUAUUGCAGGUUCACAAGCAGAAAUAAUACAGAAAAAGAUGGCAAGUUAUGCACACAAGCCAAAGCAAGGAUGUUCAUUAGAAACAGAUGCUUGGAUUACAGGUUGCAAGGUUUAUGUAGAUGCAGCAUGGAAGAAGAACACUACUGGCUCCAAGAACGACUCAAACAAAGCAGGAAUAGGAAUUGUCAUUCAGGCCAAUGAGAAUGAGCAAGGAACAGGUAUCUUAAUCUCUGCAGCUUGCGGAAGUGUUGAAUCUCCACUACAGGCAGAGGCUACAGCUCUACAGGUUGCCGCACAAAUUGCUUACCAUAUCACUAGCAGCGGAGUUACUUUCUUAGUGGACAAUCUGACACUAGCUCAGGCAGCGGCGUCAAGGAAUCUUCUUCAAGUCCCUGGGCACUGGCAAAUUAGAAGCCACCUAGCAAACUUUUUUGGUGCAACAGCGAACAUUCAAGCUCAGAUUUUUCAUAUUCCUAGGAAACUUAAUGUAAAAGCUCACAAUUGUGCAGCUUUUUCCUACAAAGAGGAUCAUCCCCUGAGCAAUAAAUUUGUUUGUUGUAAAGUAGAACAUGUAGGAGGUCACUGUCCUACGCUUGCAAAGCUAGGUAACUUAUGUAUUAAGGACUGCCAAAUCCUUGCUGGCGCCACCACUUGUCCAAAAAAAAAAAGAUCAGGCUUGAUCCAAUUCCAACGUAGCGCAUGCGACCCGGCAGAGAAUGUGGCCGGUUGA